GAUGAAGAACGUAGCGAAAUGCGAUAAGUAAUGUGAAUUGCAGAAUUCAGUGAAUCAUCGAAUCUUUGAACGCACAUUGCGCCCGUCAGUAUUCUGGCGGGCAUGCCUGUUCGAGCGUCAUUACGCCCCUCAAGUCCCCUGUGGACUUGGUGUUGGGGAUCGGCGAGGCUGGUUUUCCAGCACAGCCGUCCCUCAAAUUAAUUGGCGGUCUCGCCGUGGCCCUCCUCUGCGCAGUAGUAAAACACUCGCAACAGGAGCCCGGCGCGGUCCACUGCCGUAAAACCCCCCAACUUUUUAUAGUUGACCUCGAAUCAGGUAGGACUACCCGCUGAACUUAAGCAUAUCAAUAAGCGGAGGA
This 358-nucleotide unclassified non-coding RNA is filed under the name soil metagenome. RNAcentral's name for it is "partial contains 5.8S ribosomal RNA, internal transcribed spacer 2, and large subunit ribosomal RNA". The stretch from base 1 to 120 matches the Rfam family "5.8S ribosomal RNA", at positions 35 to 154 of the family's 154-position model. The record is from RNAcentral.